UGGCGGCAUGCUUUACNCAUGCAAGUCGAACGGUAACNGGGAGCUUGCUCCGCUGACGAGUGGCGAACGGGUGAGUAAUGCAUCGGAACGUACCCAGUCGUGGGGGAUAACGUAGCGAAAGUUACGCUAAUACCGCAUACGUCCUGAGGGAGAAAGCGGGGGACCGUAAGGCCUCGCGCGAUUGGAGCGGCCGAUGUCGGAUUAGCUAGUUGGUGGGGUAAAGGCCUACCAAGGCGACGAUCCGUAGCGGGUCUGAGAGGAUGAUCCGCCACACUGGGACUGAGACACGGNCCAGACUCCUACGGGAGGCAGCAGUGGGGAAUUUUGGACAAUGGGGGGAAACCUGAUCCAGCCAUGCCGCGUGAAUGAAGAAGGCCUUCAGGUUGUAAAGCUC
RNAcentral lists this ribosomal RNA (394 nucleotides) under uncultured bacterium. RNAcentral's name for it is "bacterial SSU rRNA". It matches the Rfam family "Bacterial small subunit ribosomal RNA", at positions 37 to 433 of the family's 1533-position model. The record is from RNAcentral.